Molecule: long non-coding RNA, 271 nt
Filed under: Lathyrus oleraceus (garden pea)
Lineage: Eukaryota; Viridiplantae; Streptophyta; Magnoliopsida; Fabales; Fabaceae
Description: Pisum sativum (pea) long non-coding RNA (PSAT_LNC018459)
Source: RNAcentral
UUCAAUGCCCCUUGGCAAUCAUUAUUUCACCUGACCGUUUGAUCUUUCUUUUCAACAUCUUGACUAUCGGUUCACCCGUGGCUGUUAGAUGAGAUGUGAACCAUGACAGGUAGUUCAAUCUUUCUAAGAAACCACGAACCUUCUUUCUUUAUUUUUUCUCGGUUCAGGCAUUUAUCUUCUUUUUUUUCUCUUUUUUUUUUCUUUUUUAAGCAGGAUCAACCUCGAUUCCUCUUUUCCAAUGAACCCCAGCAUCUUACCGGACCGCACUCUG